GGGGAACAAACUGUAACCCAGAGGUAGAGUAACUGCUUUGCACUCAGGAGGUCACGAGUUCAAUUCCCGGCAUCUCCA
Molecule: non-coding RNA, 78 nt
Organism: Podarcis lilfordi (Lilford's wall lizard)
Lineage: Eukaryota; Metazoa; Chordata; Lepidosauria; Squamata; Lacertidae
Source: the annotation of a GenBank genome assembly